This 892-nucleotide unclassified non-coding RNA is filed under the name Hevea brasiliensis (rubber tree). The record is from RNAcentral. Lineage: Eukaryota; Viridiplantae; Streptophyta; Magnoliopsida; Malpighiales; Euphorbiaceae.
CCGCUCCUCACGCCGUCAAAAUCUGAGAUCUGCAUCCAUGGCGGCCGAGACUGAGACUUUCGCCUUUCAGGCCGAGAUCAAUCAGCUUCUCAGCCUCAUCAUCAACACCUUCUACUCCAACAAGGAGAUUUUCCUCAGGGAGCUCAUCUCAAAUUCAUCCGAUGCGCUCGAUAAGAUCCGAUUUGAGGGUCUUACGGACAAGAGCAAGCUGGAGACCCAGCCUGAGCUGUUCAUCCACAUCGUGCCUGAUAAGGCAUCGAACACCCUCUCUAUCAUUGAUAGUGGGAUUGGGAUGACCAAGGCGGAUCUGGUUAAUAACCUUGGGACGAUUGCGAGGUCAGGGACGAAGGAGUUCAUGGAGGCGCUCGCGGCGGGUGCGGAUGUGAGCAUGAUUGGGCAAUUUGGAGUCGGGUUUUACUCCGCGUACCUUGCGGCGGAGCGGGUGGUGGUGACGACCAAGCAUAAUGAUGAUGAGCAGUAUGUGUGGGAGUCGCAGGCUGGCGGUUCGUUUACGGUGACGAGGGAUGAGGAGGGGGAGAGGCUUGGGAGGGGGACUAAGAUCACUCUCUUUCUUAAGGAGGAUCAGUUGGAGUACCUUGAGGAGCGCCGCCUGAAGGAUCUCAUUAAGAAGCAUUCUGAAUUCAUUAGUUACCCAAUCUCCCUAUGGGUUGAGAAGACCACUGAGAAGGAGAUUUCUGAUGAUGAGGAUGAGGAAGACAAGAAAGACGAAGAGGGGAAAGUUGAGGAUGUUGAUGAAGAGAAGGAAGAGAAGGAGAAAAAAAAGAAGAAGAUAAAGGAAGUCUCACACGAGUGGGAAUUGGUUAACAAACAGAAGCCCAUCUGGAUGAGGAAACCUGAGGAGAUCUCGAAGGAAGAGUAUGCUGCUUUCUAC